Molecule: long non-coding RNA, 740 nt
Organism: Solanum pennellii
Lineage: Eukaryota; Viridiplantae; Streptophyta; Magnoliopsida; Solanales; Solanaceae
Exons: 3
Source: RefSeq, a predicted model, not a curated record
AAAAAGUGCAAGGUGAUCUUCGUAGAUUCAAUUCUACAUAAGGCGCAUGUCAAAAAGCAGAUUGAAGACUCAUUGAAGCGGUUUGGAUUAGCGAUCUCCAAACUUCGCUAAGAAGAGGCUUAUCUGCGACCUAUGAGAGGUUAACGACGUCGGUUGCGUUCGAAUUCCAGAAUCCGGGUGUGACAGACAUAGUAAUGUGAACCACCUAGAGGGACAUCGUAUUUGUUACGAGGAAGGCAUGCAUAUCGUAUCAUCAAAGGAGUUAAUAUCAUUGCCGAGAGGGUCAUCCUCUUCUAUUGCCAAGAAGGCCAUUGCACAUUCAAACGUCGAGAGGGCCAUCAUAUUCAAACCGCCAAGAGGGUCAUUGCCUCUUCAACCGCCAAGAGGGCCAUCAACUUUCCUUGCCAAGAGGGACAUUACAUAUGCAAACUGCCGAGAAGGCCAUUAUCUUCAAAUGUCGAGAGGGCAAUUAUGUAUGCAAAUGCCAAGAGGGCCAUUACAUCUUCGAAAACUCCAAGAAGGGUGUUACAUCUUUUCAUUGCCAAGAGGGCCAUUACAUAUCUGAACCUCCAAGAGGGCCAUUAUAUUCUAACGUUGAGAAGGUUGUUACAUCUUCGAAACCUCGAAGAAGACUGUUACUUCUUAAAAUUCCAAGUGUUCGUUGAUAAAAAAUUAGACAUUGAUUUUUUAGGAUAAAUUUUUUAAUUCUAUUAUUUUAUUGAUAAAUGGUCCUUAAUGAU